CCCUGUAUCGAAAGUGAUCAUGGCGUCGCUGUGGCCAGGUCAUUGAUAGUACAGGAACACGAACGCUGAGACUUUUCCCGUGUCUGAAGGACUGUGGCUUCCUCUCAGACCCUGAAGCUCUCAGACA
Molecule: small nucleolar RNA, 127 nt
Organism: Mugil cephalus (flathead mullet)
Lineage: Eukaryota; Metazoa; Chordata; Actinopteri; Mugiliformes; Mugilidae
Product: small nucleolar RNA SNORA71
Exons: 1
Source: RefSeq, a predicted model, not a curated record